Molecule: ribosomal RNA, 606 nt
Filed under: uncultured Thermus sp.
Lineage: Bacteria; Thermotogati; Deinococcota; Deinococci; Thermales; Thermaceae
Description: bacterial SSU rRNA
Rfam family: Bacterial small subunit ribosomal RNA
Source: RNAcentral
GGUGAACGCUGGCGGCGUGCCUAAGACAUGCAAGUCGUGCGGGCUGUGGGGUUUCUCACGGUCAGCGGCGGACGGGUGAGUAACGCGUGGGUGACCUACCCGGAAGAGGGGGACAACCUGGGGAAACCCAGGCUAAUCCCCCAUGUGGACGCAUCCUGUGGGGUGUGUUUAAAGGGCUUUGCCCGCUUCCGGAUGGGCCCGCGUCCCAUCAGCUAGUUGGUGGGGUAAGAGCCUACCAAGGCGACGACGGGUAGCCGGUCUGAGAGGACGGCCGGCCACGGGGGCACUGAGACACGGGCCCCACUCCUACGGGAGGCAGCAGUUAGGAAUCUUCCGCAAUGGGCGCAAGCCUGACGGAGCGACGCCGCUUGGAGGAGGAAGCCCUUCGGGGUGUAAACUCCUGAACCCGGGACGAAACCCCCGAUGAGGGGACUGACGGUACCGGGGUAAUAGCGCCGGCCAACUCCGUGCCAGCAGCCGCGGUAAUACGGAGGGCGCGAGCGUUACCCGGAUUUACUGGGCGUAAAGGGCGUGUAGGCGGCUUGGGGCGUCCCAUGUGAAAGGCCACGGCUCAACCGUGGAGGAGCGUGGGAUACGCUCAGGCUA